CUACUUCACUGAGACAGACAGAACGGCCACACCUACUUCACUGAGACAGACAGAGAGGUCACACCCACUCCACUGAUACAGACAGAGAUGCCACACCUACUUCACUGAGACAGACAGAGAGGCCACACCCACUUCACUGAAACAGACAGAAAAGCCACACCCACUUCACUGAUACAGACAGAGAUGCCACACCUACUUCACUGAGACAGACAGAACGGCCACACCUACUUCACUGAGACAGACAGAGAGGCCACACCCACUUCACUGAGACAGACAGAGAGGCCACACCUACUUCACUGAAAC
This is a long non-coding RNA of Ictalurus punctatus (channel catfish), 303 nucleotides long. Lineage: Eukaryota; Metazoa; Chordata; Actinopteri; Siluriformes; Ictaluridae. The record is from Ensembl.